RNAcentral lists this long non-coding RNA (418 nucleotides) under Homo sapiens (human). Its description in RNAcentral is "non-protein coding lnc-DPT-1:1". The record is from RNAcentral. Lineage: Eukaryota; Metazoa; Chordata; Mammalia; Primates; Hominidae.
AGAGAAGGUGUGGGUGGACAAAGCAAAGCAGAGCCCUGACCUCACACCAGCUGGCUGAGCUGUCUUGGCUUGCAUUUGCUGUUCCAGCAUUUGUGGAGUUUGAAAUCUGCAUGCUUGGAGUGCGGAGAGCUGGAUCUUGCACCACAGUCUCCCUGUGGGCUCUUGAAUGAGAAAACCAGGGGAAGCAGAGGUAAGAACCUGUUCAAGAAGGCACAUCUCAGAUGUGGAAGAACCAUGAUUCAACUCGAGUCUGUCUGCUUCCCAAGACUGUGGUAUUUAAACAGCUUAUAAUGAAAAUUCCUUCUAUAGCUCCCCAUAAAAGGGCACACAGUUCUUUCUUAACGUAUUAUUUCAGGCAUUCAUUCACCAUUGAUGUAUUUGUGAAGGUGUUCUCUCUAAAUAAACUAUUGGGACCUUA